GAUGAACGCUGGCGGCGUGCCUAAUACAUGCAAGUCGAGCGAACUUUUCACUUCGGUGAAAAGUCAGCGGCGGACGGGUGAGUAACACGUAGGUAACCUGCCUGAUAGAUUGGGAUAACAUCGAGAAAUCGGUGCUAAUACCGAAUAUUUCAUUUUUACCGCAUGGUAGAAAUGAGAAAGGGGGCUUUUAGCUCUCACUAUCAGAUGGACCUGCGUCGCAUUAGCUAGUUGGUGAGGUAACGGCUCACCAAGGCGACGAUGCGUAGCCGACCUGAGAGGGUGAUCGGCCACACUGGGACUGAGACACGGCCCAGACUCCUACGGGAGGCAGCAGUAGGGAAUCUUCCGCAAUGGACGAAAGUCUGACGGAGCAACGCCGCGUGAGCGAUGAAGGCCUUCGGGUCGUAAAGCUCUGUUGUUAGGGAAGAACAAGUAGUAUUCGAAUAGGAUGCUACCAUGACGGUACCUAACUAGAAAGCCACGGCUAACUACGUGCCAGCAGCCGCAGUAAAAC
Molecule: ribosomal RNA, 514 nt
Filed under: uncultured bacterium
Lineage: Bacteria
Description: bacterial SSU rRNA
Rfam family: Bacterial small subunit ribosomal RNA
Source: RNAcentral